UACGGGGGGAGCAAGCGUUGUUCGGAUUUACUGGGCGUAAAGGGCGCGUAGGCGGUCAGCACAAGUCAGUUGUGAAAUCUCCGGGCUUAACUCGGAAAGGUCAACUGAUACUGUGCGACUAGAGUGCAGAAGGGGCAACUGGAAUUCUCGGUGUAGCGGUGAAAUGCGUAGAUAUCGAGAGGAACACCUGUGGCGAAGGCGGGUUGCUGGGCUGACACUGACGCUGAUGCGCGAAAGCCAGGGGAGCGAACGGG
Molecule: ribosomal RNA, 254 nt
Filed under: uncultured bacterium
Lineage: Bacteria
Description: partial 16S ribosomal RNA
Rfam family: Bacterial small subunit ribosomal RNA
Source: RNAcentral